GACGAACGCUGGCGGCGUGCUUAACACAUGCAAGUCGAACGGAAAGGCCCUGCUUUUGUGGGGUGCUCGAGUGGCGAACGGGUGAGUAACACGUGAGUAACCUGCCCUUGACUUUGGGAUAUCUUCAUGAAACUGGGGCUCAUACCGGAUAGGAGCUCCUGCUGCAUGGUGGGGGUUGGAAAGUUUCGGCGGUUGGGGAUGGACUCGCGGCUUAUCAGCUUGUUGGUUGGGUAGUGGCUUACCAAGGCUUUGACGGGUAGCCGGCCUGAGCGGGUGACCGGCCAAAUUGGGACUGGGAUACGGCCCGGACUCCAACGGGAGGCAGCAGUGGGGAAUAUUGCACAAUGGGCGGAAGGCUGAUGCAGCAAAGCCGCGUGCGGGAAGACGGCAUGCGGGUAGUAAACCGCUUUCGCCUGUGACGAAGCGUGAGUGACGGUAAUGGGUAAAGAAGCACCGGCUAACUACGUG
Molecule: ribosomal RNA, 468 nt
Filed under: uncultured bacterium
Lineage: Bacteria
Description: partial 16S ribosomal RNA
Rfam family: Bacterial small subunit ribosomal RNA
Source: RNAcentral